Molecule: ribosomal RNA, 382 nt
Filed under: uncultured bacterium
Lineage: Bacteria
Description: bacterial SSU rRNA
Rfam family: Bacterial small subunit ribosomal RNA
Source: RNAcentral
GACGCAACGCGAAGAACCUUACCCAGGCUCGAACGGUGGUGGACAUCCGGCGAAAGCCGGCUCCCGCAAGGGCCGCCAUCGAGGUGCUGCAUGGCUGUCGUCAGCUCGUGUCGUGAGAUGUUGGGUUAAGUCCCGCAACGAGCGCAACCCUUGUCCGCUGUUGCCAUCAGGUUAAGCUGGGCACUCUGCGGAGACUGCCGGUGAUAAACCGGAGGAAGGUGGGGAUGACGUCAAGUCAGCAUGGCCUUUAUGUCUGGGGCUACACACGUGCUACAAUGGCAGAUACAAACCGUCGCGAGACUGCAAGGUGGAGCUAAUCGGAGAAAGUCUGUCUCAGUUCGGAUUGCAGGCUGCAACUCGCCUGCAUGAAGUUGGAAUCGCU